This 492-nucleotide ribosomal RNA is filed under the name uncultured bacterium. Its description in RNAcentral is "partial 16S ribosomal RNA". It matches the Rfam family "Bacterial small subunit ribosomal RNA", at positions 29 to 507 of the family's 1533-position model. The record is from RNAcentral.
AGUGAACGCUGGCGGUAGGCCUAACACAUGCAAGUCGAACGGCAGCACAGUAAGAGCUUGCUCUUACGGGUGGCGAGUGGCGGACGGGUGAGGAAUACAUCGGAAUCUACUUUUUCGUGGGGGAUAACGUAGGGAAACUUACGCUAAUACCGCAUACGACCUACGGGUGAAAGCAGGGGAUCUUCGGAACUUGCGCGAUUGAAUGAGCCGAUGUCGGAUUAGCUAGCUGGCGGGGUAAAGGCCCACCAAGGCGACGAUCCGUAGCUGGUCUGAGAGGAUGAUCAGCCACACUGGAACUGAGACACGGUCCAGACUCCUACGGGAGGCAGCAGUGGGGAAUAUUGGACAAUGGGCGCAAGCCUGAUCCAGCCAUACCGCGUGGGUGAAGAAGGCCUUCGGGUUGUAAAGCCCUUUUGUUGGGAAAGAAAAGCAGCAGGUUAAUACCCCGCUGUUCUGACGGUACCCAAAGAAUAAGCACCGGCUAACUUCGUG